GCCGUAAAUCCAACUCACACUCUAAACGCCAGGGUAUUACGAGCUUUAGCUUAAAACCCAAAGGACUUGACGGUACCCCACCUAACUAGAGGAGCCUGUUCUAUAAUCGAUAAUCCACGAUUCACCUAACCACUUCUUGCUUUCAGCCCGUAUACCUCCGUCGUAAGCUUACUAUGUGAAUAUCUAAUAGUGAGCUAAAAGGCCACCACACCAUAACGUCAGGUCAAGGUGCAGCUUAUGAAGUGGGAGUAAUGGGCUACAAUUUCUAACCUAGAACAAACGAAAUACUCUAUGAAACACAGUCACGAAGGAGGAUUUAGCAGUAAAUAAGAAAUAGAGAGCCUUAUUAAACUCGGCCCUGGGGUGUGUACAAACCGCCCGUCACCCUCUUCGAUAAUUUUCUUUAAAUAAAUAAUCCACUACUACACCCUUAGAAGAGGUAAGUCGUAACAUGGUAAGUAUACUAGAAGGUACACUUGGAAUAA
This 485-nucleotide ribosomal RNA is filed under the name Raorchestes charius (Karnataka bubble-nest frog). RNAcentral describes it as "partial 12S ribosomal RNA". It matches the Rfam family "Bacterial small subunit ribosomal RNA", at positions 799 to 1533 of the family's 1533-position model. Lineage: Eukaryota; Metazoa; Chordata; Amphibia; Anura; Rhacophoridae. The record is from RNAcentral.